This 330-nucleotide ribosomal RNA is filed under the name uncultured bacterium. RNAcentral describes it as "bacterial SSU rRNA". It matches the Rfam family "Bacterial small subunit ribosomal RNA", at positions 568 to 898 of the family's 1533-position model. The record is from RNAcentral.
UUCGUAGGCGGUGUGGCAAGUCAGGAGUGAAAUCUCUGGGCUUAACUCAGAGGCUGCUUCUGAAACUGCUGUGCUUGAGUGUGGGAGAGGCGCGUGGAAUUGCAGGUGUAGCGGUGAAAUGCGUAGAUAUCUGCAGGAACACCCGUGGCGAAAGCGGCGCGCUGGACCACAACUGACGCUGAGGAACGAAAGCUAGGGGAGCAAACAGGAUUAGAUACCCUGGUAGUCCUAGCCCUAAACGAUCAGGACUUGGGGUGCCGCCCGUUCGGGCGUCGUCCCGGAGCUAACGCGUUAAGUCCUGCACCUGGGGAGUACGGUCGCAAGACUGAA